Molecule: small nucleolar RNA, 208 nt
Organism: Pelodiscus sinensis (Chinese soft-shelled turtle)
Lineage: Eukaryota; Metazoa; Chordata; Testudines; Trionychidae
Gene: SNORA73
Rfam family: Small nucleolar RNA SNORA73 family
About the family: U17 (SNORA73A and SNORA73B) also known as E1 belongs to the H/ACA class of small nucleolar RNAs (snoRNAs). Vertebrate U17 is intron-encoded and ranges in length from 200-230 nucleotides, longer than most snoRNAs.
Source: Ensembl
CCAACGUGGAUAUCCAGAGAAGUUGCUCUCUCUUGGCUCUGUCCAUGUGGCGUAUGGGAGCGUAGAGGCCUUCGGGCUCCAUGACGUAUAGUCCCUUUCCACGCCGUUGGAGAACAAGCCGGGCCUCUGGUCUGCAGCCUGCAUAUUCCUACUGCUUCUCUGAGUCUUCGGACUGUGACUGAGGAGAUAAACCAUGCAGGAAACAUUU